This 208-nucleotide long non-coding RNA is filed under the name Nicotiana benthamiana. RNAcentral describes it as "long non-coding RNA (NBEN_LNC016730)". Lineage: Eukaryota; Viridiplantae; Streptophyta; Magnoliopsida; Solanales; Solanaceae. The record is from RNAcentral.
CUUCUUCUUGGCCACUAUUCAGGAGACUGAGAAAAGACACCACGAUACCCACAUCAUUGGAGAAUGGAACACCAUUGUAAGGCUCUUAACCUCUCUAUAGAGAGAAUGGAGAGGCAGACCAAAUUAAUAUUAUCAAUAAAAGCUUUUCAUGUUUCCCCCUCCUAGAGUACUUAUUUUUGCUUUUUUUAUUUGAUCCAAUGGAUUAUUA